Molecule: long non-coding RNA, 216 nt
Filed under: Elaeis guineensis (African oil palm)
Lineage: Eukaryota; Viridiplantae; Streptophyta; Magnoliopsida; Arecales; Arecaceae
Description: long non-coding RNA (EGUI_LNC067658)
Source: RNAcentral
ACCAGACCUUCUCCUACCCAGCACCCCACUUCUUCUACUAGACCUUCUUUUAGUGCCACUGUCAGACCUGGCUUUCCUCCACUUCACCUCGGACCUUUUGCUUGCACCCAGAGCAAAUCAACCACUCCGUCUUCCUCCUCCUCAUCUUAUCCUCCUGACCCCAUUAUUAGGGAAGUGCCAGAUAAAGACUAGAGUCUUUAUCUUAAAUUAUCCCAA